This 116-nucleotide ribosomal RNA is filed under the name Pteropus alecto (black flying fox). The record is from RNAcentral. Lineage: Eukaryota; Metazoa; Chordata; Mammalia; Chiroptera; Pteropodidae.
GUCUACGGCCAUGCCACCCUGAACAAGCCUGAUGUCUGAUCUCGGAAGCUAAGCAGGGUUGGGCCUCGUUAGUACUUGGAUGGGAGACUACAUAGGAAGACCAGGUGCUAUAGGCA